CAUUAAGUGCAGGAAAAGAAACCAAAUGGGAUUCCCUCAGUAAAGGCGAGUGAAGUGGGACGAGCUCAGCACCGAAGCCGGCGGCCGAGAGGCCGUCGUGCAAUGUGGUGUUCGGGAGGGCUCUGUCCGUGUCCGGUGUCGGUCCAAGUCUCCUGGAAAGGAGUUCCGUGGAGGGUGACAGGCCCGUGCGACCGAUUGCCGCGCUCGCGGACGAGUCUUACCUUCGAGUCGGGUUGCUCGCUAAUGCAGCCCUAAGCAGGUGGUAAGCUCCAUCUAAGGCUAAAUAUAACCACGAGUCCGAUAGUCAACAAGUACAGUGAUGGAAAGUUGAAAAGUACUCUGAAGAGAGAGUCAAAUAGCCCGUGAAGCUGCCAGUAUGGGAUUAAGCGCACGUGUGACGCGUGUCGUCGGACAAAUAGGCGGCCGUUGUCUGUCGCACGCCUCGCGCGUCCGGCAUCGGAAACGGUGUCGGCGCGAGGCGCUGCCCGGCGGUCGGCGGAACGCCUCCCUUUGUUCGGCAUCGACAGGUCGGGGCUUCGUUGUCCGGUCUUAUUGUGCCGGCCGUUAUUCGCAGAGCCGUGUCGGGCCGGCGCGCCGCCCUCGGGUGCGUGCCGGUGUUCCGUGGAAUGUGCGCGCCUCGCGCGCGGCCACGGCCGGCCUGGUCUGCGAUGCAAUGCGGCCGAUGAUUGUUGCGAACGACUGGGCGACGGCCAGCGCAAAUCGACUCGCAAGAGUCGGCUCGGCCUUUGCGUCGUCACGUGCGGCCCGUCUUGAAACACGGACCAAGGAGUCUAACAUGUGAGCGAGCGAUUGAGAUUGUCUAAUCUCAGACGCGCAAUGAAAGUGAAGUGUCGUCUGACGGCACGAGCGGAGAUCCGUCGUCACUCGUGGCGGCGGCGCAUCCGCGGGCCACGCCAUCGGCUGGCUUGCUUUUCGGAGCACUGCUGAGGCGUGGACCUAGAGCCCACACGUUGGGACCCGAAAGAUGGUGAACUAUGCCUGGCCAGGAUGAAGCCAGAGGAAACUCUGGUGGAGGUCCGCCGCGAUUCUGACGUGCAAAUCGAUCGUCUGAGCUGGGUAUAGGGGCGAAAGACCAAUCGAACCAUCUAGUAGCUGGUUCCGCCCGAAGUUUCCCUCAGGAUAGCUGGCGCUCGUGUGAUACGGAGUUUCAUCCGGUAAAGCGAAUGAUCAGAGGAGCUGGGCUCCUUGCGAGCUCAACCUAUUCUCAAACUUUCAAUGGGUGAGACGUCUCGCUGGCUUCACUGCAGCGACGACUCUGAAUCCGAGUGCCCAGUGGGCCACUUUUGGUAAGCAGAACUGGCGAUGCGGGAUGAACCGCAUGUCGAGUUAAGGUGCCUAAGCGGACGCAAAUCAGAUACCAUGAAAGGCGUUGAUUGCUCACGACAGCAGGACGGUGGCCAUGGAAGUCGGCAUCCGCUAAGGAGUGUGUAACAACUCACCUGCCGAAGCAAUCAGCCCUGAAAAUGGAUGGCGCUAAAGCGUUCCACCGAUACUCGACCGUCGUCGGCAGGCGACGUGCACAUGCCACGUCUCAAGCCACGACGAGUAGGGCGGCGCGGCGGUGAGCGUCGAAGGCGUAGCCGCGAGGCUAGCUGGAGCCGCCGUCGGUGCAGAUCUUGGUGGUAGUAGCAAAUACACAAGCAAGAUCCUUGUGGACCGAUGUGGAGAAGGGUUCCGCGCGAACAGUACUUGGACGUGGGUGAGUCGGCCCUAAGCCAACGGGUAAUUCCCGCAUCCCGUGUUUAUCGUUUGCCGAAUCCGAACAACAUGGGUUGAU
Molecule: ribosomal RNA, 1798 nt
Filed under: Tetraclitella divisa
Lineage: Eukaryota; Metazoa; Arthropoda; Thecostraca; Balanomorpha; Tetraclitidae
Description: eukaryotic LSU rRNA
Rfam family: Eukaryotic large subunit ribosomal RNA
Source: RNAcentral